AUCUAACUCGUGUCUCGGUGUUCUAUGCACUUGGGGUAUUGAGUAUGAUCGAUAAGUCAUAACGACUCUCGGCAACGGAUAUCUCGGCUCUCGAAUCGAUGAAGAACGUAGCGAAAUGCGAUACGUGGUGUGAAUUGCAGGAUCCCGUGAACCAUCGAGUUUUUGAACGCAAGUUGCGCCCGAAGCCGUCAGGCUGAGGGCACGUCUGCCUGGGCGUCACGCA
This 223-nucleotide ribosomal RNA is filed under the name Laportea ovalifolia. RNAcentral describes it as "5.8S ribosomal RNA". The stretch from base 64 to 219 matches the Rfam family "5.8S ribosomal RNA". From Rfam's summary of the family: 5.8S ribosomal RNA (5.8S rRNA) is a component of the large subunit of the eukaryotic ribosome. It is transcribed by RNA polymerase I as part of the 45S precursor that also contains 18S and 28S rRNA. Lineage: Eukaryota; Viridiplantae; Streptophyta; Magnoliopsida; Rosales; Urticaceae. The record is from RNAcentral.